CAGUCGAACGAGUUCUCGUUGAUGAUCGGUGCUUGCACCGAGAUUCAACAUGGAACGAGUGGCGGACGGGUGAGUAACACGUGGGUAACCUGCCCUUAAGUGGGGGAUAACAUUUGGAAACAGAUGCUAAUACCGCAUAGAUCCAAGAACCGCAUGGUUCUUGGCUGAAAGAUGGCGUAAGCUAUCGCUUUUGGAUGGACCCGCGGCGUAUUAGCUAGUUGGUGAGGUAAUGGCUCACCAAGGCGAUGAUACGUAGCCGAACUGAGAGGUUGAUCGGCCACAUUGGGACUGAGACACGGCCCAAACUCCUACGGGAGGCAGCAGUAGGGAAUCUUCCACAAUGGACGCAAGUCUGAUGGAGCAACGCCGCGUGAGUGAAGAAGGCUUUCGGGUCGUAAAACUCUGUUGUUGGAGAAGAAUGGUCGGCAGAGUAACUGUUGUCGGCGUGACGGUAUCCAACCAGAAAGCCACGGCUAACUACGUGCCAGCAGCCGCGGUAAUACGUAGGUGGCAAGCGUUAUCCGGAUUUAUUGGGCGUAAAGCGAGCGCAGGCGGUUUUUUAAGUCUGAUGUGAAAGCCCUCGGCUUAACCGAGGAAGCGCAUCGGAAACUGGGAAACUUGAGUGCAGAAGAGGACAGUGGAACUCCAUGUGUAGCGGUGAAAUGCGUAGAUAUAUGGAAGAACGCCAGUGGCGAAGGCGGCUGUCUGGUCUGUAACUGACGCUGAGGCUCGAAAGCAUGGGUAGCGAACAGGAUUAGAUACCCUGGUAGUCCAUGCCGUAAACGAUGAAUGCUAGGUGUU
This 801-nucleotide ribosomal RNA is filed under the name uncultured bacterium. Its description in RNAcentral is "bacterial SSU rRNA". It matches the Rfam family "Bacterial small subunit ribosomal RNA", at positions 59 to 824 of the family's 1533-position model. The record is from RNAcentral.